This 878-nucleotide ribosomal RNA is filed under the name uncultured bacterium. RNAcentral describes it as "bacterial SSU rRNA". It matches the Rfam family "Bacterial small subunit ribosomal RNA", at positions 28 to 904 of the family's 1533-position model. The record is from RNAcentral.
GACGAACGCUGGCGGCGUGCCUAACACAUGCAAGUCGAGCGAAGAAUAUAUAAAGAAAUCUUCGGAUGGAAUUAUGUAUUUCUUAGCGGCGGACGGGUGAGUAACGCGUGAGGAACCUGCCUUGUACUAGGGGAUAGCCUCGGGAAACCGGGAUUAAUACCCUAUGACACUUGAAAGUCGCAUGACUUUCAAGUCAAAGCGAUUUAGCGGUACAAGAUGGCCUCGCGUCCCAUUAGCUAGUUGGCGAGGUAAUAGCUCACCAAGGCGACGAUGGGUAGCCGGCCUGAGAGGGCGAACGGCCACACUGGAACUGAGACACGGUCCAGACUCCUACGGGAGGCAGCAGUGGGGAAUAUUGCACAAUGGAGGAAACUCUGAUGCAGCGACGCCGCGUGAGCGAUGAAGGUUUUCGAAUCGUAAAGCUCUGUCCUAAGGGACGAUAAUGACGGUACCUUAGGAGGAAGCCCCGGCUAACUACGUGCCAGCAGCCGCGGUAAUACGUAGGGGGCGAGCGUUGUCCGGAUUUAUUGGGCGUAAAGGGUGCGUAGGCGGCCUUGUAAGUCAGAUGUGAAAUCUCACGGCUUAACCGUGGUAAGCAUUUGAAACUGUGAGGCUUGAGUACAGGAGAGGAGAGUGGAAUUCCUAGUGUAGCGGUGAAAUGCGCAGAGAUCAGGAGGAAUACCGAAGGCGAAGGCAGUCUUCUAAGCCGAUAUUGACGCUAAACUGCGAAGGUGUGGGGAUCAAACAGGAUUAGAUACCCUGGUAGUCCACACAGUAAACGAUAAUCACUAGGUGUUGGGUUCUUAAGAGGAUUCAGUGCCGGAGCUAACGCGAUAAGUGAUUCGCCUGGGGAGUACGAUCGCAAGGUUGAAACUCAA